Molecule: ribosomal RNA, 435 nt
Filed under: uncultured bacterium
Lineage: Bacteria
Description: partial 16S ribosomal RNA
Rfam family: Bacterial small subunit ribosomal RNA
Source: RNAcentral
GAUGAACGCUGGCGGUAUGCUUAACACAUGCAAGUCGAACGGACUCUUCGGAGUUAGUGGCGGACGGGUGAGUAACGCGUGAGAAUCUGGCUUUGGGUUCGGGACAACCACUGGAAACGGUGGCUAAUACCGGAUGUGCCGAGAGGUAAAAGAGAAAUUGCCUGAAGAUGAGCUCGCGUCUGAUUAGCUAGUUGGUGAGGUAAAGGCUCACCAAGGCAGCGAUCAGUAGCUGGUCUGAGAGGAUGACCAGCCACACUGGGACUGAGACACGGCCCAGACUCCUACGGGAGGCAGCAGUGGGGAAUUUUCCGCAAUGGGCGAAAGCCUGACGGAGCAAUACCGCGUGAGGGAAGAAGGCUCUUGGGUUGUAAACCUCUUUUCUUAGGGAAGAACAAAAUAACGGUACCUAAGGAAUCAGCAUCGGCUAACUCCGUG